RNAcentral lists this ribosomal RNA (995 nucleotides) under uncultured bacterium. RNAcentral's name for it is "bacterial SSU rRNA". It matches the Rfam family "Bacterial small subunit ribosomal RNA", at positions 355 to 1375 of the family's 1533-position model. RNAcentral also lists the same sequence under 1 other name. The record is from RNAcentral.
UGGGGAAUAUUGCACAAUGGGGGAAACCCUGAUGCAGCGACGCCGCGUGGAGGAAGAAGGUCUUCGGAUUGUAAACUCCUGUUGUUGGGGAAGAUAAUGACGGUACCCAACAAGGAAGUGACGGCUAACUACGUGCCAGCAGCCGCGGUAAAACGUAGGUCACAAGCGUUGUCCGGAAUUACUGGGUGUAAAGGGAGCGCAGGCGGGAAGACAAGUUGGAAGUGAAAUCUAUGGGCUCAACCCAUAAACUGCUUUCAAAACUGUUUUUCUUGAGUAGUGCAGAGGUAGGCGGAAUUCCCGGUGUAGCGGUGGAAUGCGUAGAUAUCGGGAGGAACACCAGUGGCGAAGGCGGCCUACUGGGCACCAACUGACGCUGAGGCUCGAAAGUGUGGGUAGCAAACAGGAUUAGAUACCCUGGUAGUCCACACCGUAAACGAUGAUUACUAGGUGUUGGAGGAUUGACCCCUUCAGUGCCGCAGUUAACACAAUAAGUAAUCCACCUGGGGAGUACGACCGCAAGGUUGAAACUCAAAGGAAUUGACGGGGGCCCGCACAAGCAGUGGAGUAUGUGGUUUAAUUCGACGCAACGCGAAGAACCUUACCAAGUCUUGACAUCCCUUGACAGACAUAGAAAUAUGUAAUCUCUUCGGAGCAAGGAGACAGGUGGUGCAUGGUUGUCGUCAGCUCGUGUCGUGAGAUGUUGGGUUAAGUCCCGCAACGAGCGCAACCCUUAUGGUCAGUUACUACGCAAGAGGACUCUGGCCAGACUGCCGUUGACAAAACGGAGGAAGGUGGGGAUGACGUCAAAUCAUCAUGCCCUUUAUGACUUGGGCUACACACGUACUACAAUGGCGUUAAACAAAGAGAAGCAAGACCGCGAGGUGGAGCAAAACUCAGAAACAACGUCCCAGUUCGGACUGCAGGCUGCAACUCGCCUGCACGAAGUCGGAAUUGCUAGUAAUCGUGGAUCAGCAUGCCACGGUGAAUACGUUCCC